Molecule: ribosomal RNA, 463 nt
Filed under: uncultured bacterium
Lineage: Bacteria
Description: partial 16S ribosomal RNA
Rfam family: Bacterial small subunit ribosomal RNA
Source: RNAcentral
GACGAACGCUGGCGGCGUGCUUAACACAUGCAAGUCGAACGGAAAGGCCUUUUCGGUGGUACUCGAGUGGCGAACGGGUGAGUAACACUUGGGUGUUCUGCCCUGCCCUCUGGGAUAAGCCUGGGUAACUGGGUCCAAUACCGGUUAGGACUGCACUUUUGUGCGUGUGGUGGCAAGUUUUUUGGGGGUAGUUUGAGCCGGCGGGCUAUCAGCUCGUUGGUGGGGUAAUGGAUUACCAAGGCGGCGACGGGUAGCCGGACUGUGGGGUUGGUCGGCGACAUUGGGACCUAGGGGCGGCCGAGGUUGCGAAGGGAGGGAGCAGGGGGGAAGAUUGCACGAGGGGCGCAAGGCGGGUGCAGCGAGUCCGCGUGGCGGAUGACGGCCUUAGGGUUGAAGAAUACUUGCGCCAGGGACGAAGCGUUUUGUGACGGUACCUGAAGAAGAAGCACCGGCUAACUACGUG